UGAUAGUGCCUCAACAUGCAUGUUGACUCUCAGCAAUCUUGUCUGAUCUCAGAAGCUAAGUAGCAUUGAGUGUUGCUGGUAUUUGGAUGGGAGGCCACCUAGAAAUACNAGGUGCUUUUGC
Molecule: ribosomal RNA, 121 nt
Filed under: Salvator merianae (Argentine black and white tegu)
Lineage: Eukaryota; Metazoa; Chordata; Lepidosauria; Squamata; Teiidae
Source: RNAcentral